Molecule: long non-coding RNA, 480 nt
Organism: Zingiber officinale
Lineage: Eukaryota; Viridiplantae; Streptophyta; Magnoliopsida; Zingiberales; Zingiberaceae
Exons: 3
Source: RefSeq, a predicted model, not a curated record
GCCUCCUUGCCACCCGUCGCUGACGCCGGCGCGGAGAAGAAGGCCGAGCGACUCGCUCUUAGGGUUGGCGAGAACCUCUUCAAUUUCAUGCAGUCCUUCUGCGGGAUUGACGGAAGCCGGCUCGUCGUGCCCAUGGAUAUCCUUGAUCGGUGGUUCAAGAAGUUCCAGGAGCGAGCCCGGAAGGAUCCCAGUUACCUCAAAGGUUUUGCCUUGUGACAGACAGGUGCAACAACUUGAAAGACACAAAGAUAUUGACAAACACAUAAACCAUCAUUUCUUAUUACGAGAUGAAGAGGAUUCUGGUGAAGAAGGAUUAUAGAAGUUAUCUCUAGAUCACGAGGAGUUGUUCUUUAGACUUUCUUUUGUGUAACUUUCAUGGGAAUAGUUAUUUUUUUAUUAUCAAAUUAAUGAUAGAUAUGUAGAUAUUUCUGUUAUUGGAUGAAUGUUGGAUGCACUUCAAUUAAUGAUUAUAGAAUUUUA